This 68-nucleotide transfer RNA is filed under the name Phycisphaerae bacterium. RNAcentral describes it as "tRNA-Leu". It matches the Rfam family "tRNA". From Rfam's summary of the family: Transfer RNA (tRNA) molecules are approximately 80 nucleotides in length. Lineage: Bacteria; Pseudomonadati; Planctomycetota; Phycisphaerae. The record is from RNAcentral.
UCGGGUAGCUCAAUGGUAGAGCACCAGGCGCAGAAUCUGGCUGUUGCGGGUUCGAAUCCCGCACCGAA